Molecule: non-coding RNA, 30 nt
Filed under: Homo sapiens (human)
Lineage: Eukaryota; Metazoa; Chordata; Mammalia; Primates; Hominidae
Source: RNAcentral
UGAAGACAGAUGCAAGGGCCUUUACACCAC